GGGAGGGCGGGGGCCAAAGGGGGCCAAGGGCUGGGGAGCCGGGCGCGGAGAGCGGCCCGUCGCGUUCAUUUCCAUAAGAAAGCUGAAAUCGCGGUUGGAGGGAGGAUUUCUCGCCCUAGCCGCCCUCCCCCCUACACCCGGGUUUCUGCGAGACGCGGGCUCCGGAGCUCAGAGCCCUGCGUUGCGCGCUGGUCUCCGAUGGUAUUGAUAAAACGCGGUUUCACACGGCGCCCCGGCCGAGGCCGGUUUCCGUCUGUGUGCGGAGUGGAAGGAGCGCGGGAAGGGUUGACAAGACAGAGACAUUAAGUUGCAGAAAAUGCAGCGGACUGAUCAGCCAGAAUGCAUCUCAUUUGCACUUGUACGGAGCCAGGGCGGGGGACCAUGGUCUCAUUGUGCCAUCGGAGGAACAGCCCCCGACAAGGCCCUGAGCACCCAGGCGCAGCCACCCACCCAUGCCCACGGCAGGCCUGAGGGAGCGUAGGGGCUGAGGCUGUGAAGCCGGGCAGCCGGCCUUGUCCCAUUGACAGCCGGGGCACGUCUGCGGAGCCCCGGAGCCCCGUGGAACAAUCAACGGACUCUAUGUCCCGGGAGCUGGGGACACACCUGUAAGGUGUGUGAUAAUUUAAAGAUUCUUGGUACUACUUUUGCUUGAAUCCUUUGUUACAGCUUUGUCAGCUUGCGCGCCUUCAGCUGCUUCCCUUCCCGGGCUGCCCCAACCCCCCACCACAG
RNAcentral lists this long non-coding RNA (729 nucleotides) under Suricata suricatta (meerkat). Its description in RNAcentral is "lncRNA (ENSSSUG00005008346.1)". Lineage: Eukaryota; Metazoa; Chordata; Mammalia; Carnivora; Herpestidae. The record is from RNAcentral.